This 968-nucleotide long non-coding RNA is filed under the name Mytilus galloprovincialis (Mediterranean mussel). Lineage: Eukaryota; Metazoa; Mollusca; Bivalvia; Mytilida; Mytilidae. The record is from RNAcentral.
CCUUGUUCGACGGACACGCCCGCACCUACUUUUUUCAAAACAGAAUUUUUUUAUUUUUAUUAUAUUCCCGCUUUCCGCAUCCGGAAAUGUAAUCAUGUCCAUUUCCUUCACCGUUUUUUGUAAGUAUUAUAAAAAGAUCUCAACAUUUGUUUUUAAAAUCACAGUAUAACAUUUAUAUAACGAUUUUAAACCCAUAAGCACCCCACAACACUGUAAAUAUCUGUGAGAAUAUUUGUUUCAGCAUGAUUGGAGUGUGAGUGCUCCGAUAAAAAUAUAUAACAGUGGGAAUACCUGUACAGAACAAAAAACAUUAGUUCCUUUCCCCCUGACUUAUAUUCCCUAUAAAAAAAUGUUCGUGUUAAAAUAAAGUACAAAGAACUUCUGAAGGAUUUGCCUUCAACUGCAAUUAUAAUGUAUGCUGAAAGUCAUAACCGCUGCAAGUUUGUGCCUGUCCUGAUUGAUUCAGGGACCUGUUGUUCAGCAGUUAUCGUUUGUUGUUGGGUGUUUUCCCGUUUGGAAAUAUAAAUUAGAUCGUUGGGUUUCCUGUUCGAAUUGUGUACAAUACUAAGUUGUGGUCCCUUAUAGGUUGCUGUUUGGUCAGGAUCAAAGCUCUGUGUAAAAGGCUGUACUUUGACCUAUGUUUGUUAUUAUCAGGUUAUCCCUCAGACAAGGCCUUGAAGGGGUCAUUUUACCAUGUUUACUGUUGUAGAAAAGAAAAUAGAAAUACUAAGGAUUUGUAUAGUGCUACUAUACAAAACCUUUGAAAACUAGAAUUUUUUACUCAAAAAGAGGAGAAAUACAUUAUAUUUUUAAACAACUUCUCUAAAAGAGGGGUCCACUUAUUUUGAAUAAUAGUCCAGUAAAAUUCUUGGACAUGUUUUGACCAUUUAAUACCAUAUAGAUAUUAUAGUUCUUUGGGAAAUAUUAGCCCUUUUGUACUAAAAGUGUUUUUACCAAAAAAAUAUAUU